RNAcentral lists this ribosomal RNA (715 nucleotides) under Margotrema bravoae. Its description in RNAcentral is "eukaryotic LSU rRNA". It matches the Rfam family "Eukaryotic large subunit ribosomal RNA", at positions 162 to 635 of the family's 3401-position model. Lineage: Eukaryota; Metazoa; Platyhelminthes; Trematoda; Plagiorchiida; Allocreadiidae. The record is from RNAcentral.
ACUGCUCCUCUCUAAGUCCAUCAAUGAGUACGGUUGUACUGACAUGGCCCAUGGAGGGUGAAAGGCCCGUAAGAGAGGAGGUUUGGUAUGACAGUGUCUCUCUGGAUUGACCUUGGAGUCGGGUUGUUUGGGAAUGCAGCCCUAAGCGGGUGGUAAACUCCAUCCAAGGCUAAAUACAAGCACGAGUCCGAUAGCGAACAAGUACCGUGAGGGAAAGUUGAAAAGUACUUUGAAGAGAGAGUAAACAGUGCGUGAAACCGCUUAGAGGUAAACGGGUGGAGUUGAACUGCAAUCUCUGAGAAUUCAGCUGGGGAAUUUUGCUUGAGCUUGGUCAAAAUGGGCAGGGCCUCGGGGUAUGCAUAUGUGCAUGUCCUGACUUUCGGGUCGGGAUGCGCGUUGCUCUUAUCAAGGGUUGCGCGCCUCGGGUGUCCGGCUGGCUCUGUCGCCAGUGCACUUUCUCAGAGUGAUCAUCACGACCGGCGCUGCUGCUUGGCUGUUUUUGUUAAACCGAAUGUUCAUCCUCCUUGUGGCGUUGGGCGGUCGGCACGCCAGGUAACUGGGGGCUUGCUUCGGCUUGCUGCUCGGUGUAUGUCGGCUUUAACGGUUCUAUGCGGUGUGUCGGAGACGGCGGCUAGUAGUGUGUGCGUGCGUAUCUAUCUGUUGGCACACUCUGGUUUGAUGGCCGUGUGCUUGUUCACGCAGGCCCAGUUAUAGC